UGAAAUACAUUGAAAGAGGAAAGUAACAUAUAUGGAAUAUACAGAGAAGGAAUCUAAUAUGCUGAGAGGAUUCUUAUAGGAAGUUUAUGUGAAGUGCCCUCUGGAGUAGUGCACCGAAUUGAGUAGGCUGCAUCGGUAUCACCCGUUAUAGUGAUAGAGCAUUGAGUUGUGCUUGAAAUUUAGUUCAACACCGUAUUUUGGUAGAGUGGAACAGCGAAGUUAUAACUUCGUCUCUAUA
This 238-nucleotide non-coding RNA is filed under the name Clostridium tetanomorphum. Its description in RNAcentral is "T-box sequence". It matches the Rfam family "T-box leader". From Rfam's summary of the family: Uncharged tRNA acts as the effector for transcription antitermination of genes in the T-box leader family. T-boxes are found upstream of many aminoacyl-tRNA synthetase genes and some amino acid biosynthetic genes usually in Gram-positive bacteria. The record is from RNAcentral. Lineage: Bacteria; Bacillati; Bacillota; Clostridia; Eubacteriales; Clostridiaceae.